RNAcentral lists this ribosomal RNA (760 nucleotides) under unidentified. RNAcentral describes it as "Lentinus sp. DC-2020a partial large subunit ribosomal RNA". It matches the Rfam family "Eukaryotic large subunit ribosomal RNA", at positions 176 to 923 of the family's 3401-position model. The record is from RNAcentral.
CGUGUAUAAGUCUCUUGGAACAGAGCGUCAUAGAGGGUGAGAAUCCCGUCUUUGACACGGACUACCAGUGCUUUGUGAUGCGCUCUCAAAGAGUCGAGUUGUUUGGGAAUGCAGCUCAAAAUGGGUGGUGAAUUCCAUCUAAAGCUAAAUAUUGGCGAGAGACCGAUAGCGAACAAGUACCGUGAGGGAAAGAUGAAAAGCACUUUGGAAAGAGAGUUAAACAGUACGUGAAAUUGCUGAAAGGGAAACGCUUGAAGUCAGUCGCGUCUUCCGGAACUCAGCCUUCCUUUUGGUUGGUGCACUUUCCGGUUGACGGGCCAGCAUCAAUUUCGACCGUCGGAUAAGGGCUGGGGAAAUGUGGCACCUUUCGGGGUGUGUUAUAGUCCUCAGUCGCAUACGUCGGUCGGGAUUGAGGAUCGCAGCGCGCCGCAAGGCAGGGGUUCGCCCACUUUCGCGCUUAGGAUGCUGGCAUAAUGGCUUUAAACGACCCGUCUUGAAACACGGACCAAGGAGUCUAACAAACCUGCGAGUGUUUGGGUGGAAAACCCGAGCGCGUAAUGAAAGUGAAAGUUGAGACCUCUGUCGUGGAGGGCAUCGACGCCCGGACCUGACGUUCUCUGACGGAUCCGCGGUAGAGCAUGUUUGUUGGGACCCGAAAGAUGGUGAACUAUGCCUGAAUAGGGUGAAGCCAGAGGAAACUCUGGUGGAGGCUCGUAGCGAUUCUGACGUGCAAAUCGAUCGUCAAAUUUGGGUAUAGGGG